UCCUUUUUUGAAUAAAACUUGUUUAUAGAACAACAAAUCGUGAAAAAUUAAUCUGUCAAAAUAAAAUUAUAAGUUAAAUAAUUAAACAUAAGUGGCAAUAUCAUUCGUGACAAGAUUUUACCAAUACAGACGAUACCUAUCGAAAUUUUCGAGUCAGGCUGAGUCACUUUGUGAACUUCAUCGUAUUAAGAUAUCAUAUUAAGAUGGUGAAAUAAGACAAAACAUCGUUUCGGUACGAACGAUAAAUUUGUAACAAUUAAUUGAGCAAUUUUACUAAAGGAUAUGGAUUAUUACUUAACAUGGAUCGAAAGCAUCGAGAAAUAUUAGACUCGUGUUACGAAGAUAUUGUACCUAGAAUAAAUAUAAUCAAAUUAUGGCCAAAACUGUUUGAAAAUAAAGUUUUUAAUAGAGAUGACGUGAAUAUUUCGCGCUGGAUAAAAGACAUCACAAAUAAAACAACAGUACAUGAAAUAUAUUUGACGAUAAAAACACGAGGACCACUUGCAUUUGCUCGUUUUCUUGCAAGCCUAAGACAAAGUAACCAUGAAGAUUUAGCAGAUAUUUUGGAAGGAACAAGAACUCCAUUACCUAUUACUAACACGCCAAGUUAUGGUGAUCAUAAUGAAUGCACGAAAGAAAGCAAUGUAGAGGAAACUACUUUUAUUCCAACUGCAGAAGGGCCACAAGGCGACUUUUUUCGUAAUAUACAAGUAUUAGAGGAACCACUACAAAUUUUAGUACAGAAAGCUACAAAAUUCUUAGAUGGGCCUGAAUAUGAAAAUGUUCAAACAUAUCCAAUGCGUAGCAAACCCCGUGGACUGGUUUUAAUAAUAACAAAUAUUGAUUACAAACAUCCAGAUAAAGAAGAUAGAAAUUCGGCUAUAUAUGAUGAAUCAAACUUAAAACAACUUUUUAAACAAAUGGGUUUUGAAGUUUCUUCCUAUUGCAAUCUAACAGCACAGAAAAUGUUAGAGAGAAUUAAAGAAUUUUCUCAACGUAAAGAGUUACGCAAGGUUGAUUCUUGCUUUGUUAUAAUAAGUAGUCAUGGUAAUGUUAAUACACAGUAUGAAGUCACAGAAAUAGAAGGUGUAGAAGAGCAUAUGCAAGACAAAGUGCAAAAUCAAAAAACUGUUUUAUGUACUGAUAUUUUGAGUUAUUUCACUGCAGAAGCUUGUCCCAAUCUUGCAGGGAAACCAAAGAUUUUCAUUUUUCAAUUAUGUAGAGGAAAGAAAAAACAAAAAUCAGUAAAAGAACCUAGACAUACAACAGAUACAUCUAACUUUCAACAUUCCUCUGAUGAAACUACUAAUGUUAAAAGAAAUGGUAGGGAGACACUGAGAUGUUAUGAAGAUAUGUUACUUUCAUAUGCUACCCUCCCAGGAUAUGUUGCCUUCCGAGACAAAAUAACUGGUAGUUGGUUCAUACAAAUUUUGUGUGAAGUAUUUAUGAAAUAUGCUCAUAAAGCUCAUCUUCAGGAUUUAUUAAACAUGGUUGAUGAGAGAUUAAAAAUACAAAGGACUAAUGGAGGAGACUGUCAGACAUUAACGAUAACACUGAUUGGAUUCAAUAAACAUUGUUAUCUUAAUCCUGGUCUUUUUGAACAGAUAUGAUCUUAGAAACUUGCCAUUGAACAGAAUGCAUAAUCUAUAUAUAUAUAUAUAUUAUAUAUAUAUAUAUAUAUAUAUAUAGAUUAACAUUUUUUCAACAAAUUUUAUAUAUCGAGUGUACUUAUUUAUAUAUAAAUUUUAUAUAUUUGAAUAUGAAUUAAUAUUAAACUGGGCAAAUGUUACAUAUUGGAUGUAUUUGAAUCAUAUUACAUUUUUAUUAUAUUUUACAAAAUAUACCAAGAAAUGUGUAAACUUUUACGUUCUUCUCUUUCUUUUUUGCGUAUAGUCUAUCUACAUCGCACAAAAUUUUUUAGAAAUGAUAAAGUACUAUAGUCAUUGAUAUAGUAAUAAUAUACGUGACAAAGAAAAGAAUAAUGAUAUGAACAAAUGAAGCGUUUGUAAAAGGAAGAACAAUACAUUUCACAUUAAAGGGAGCAAUGAUAACGAUGA
Molecule: RNA transcript, 2057 nt
Organism: Bombus impatiens (common eastern bumble bee)
Lineage: Eukaryota; Metazoa; Arthropoda; Insecta; Hymenoptera; Apidae
Gene: Dronc
Gene name: caspase-6
Exons: 7
Source: RefSeq, a predicted model, not a curated record